UGUGUACUCCCUCCGUCCGAAAAUACUUGUCAUCAAAAUGGAUAAAAAGGAAUGUAUCUAGAACUAAAAUACGUCUAGAUACAUCUCUUUUUAUUCAUUUUGAUGACAAGUAUUUCCGGACGGGGGGGAUUACUUA
This is a non-coding RNA of Triticum urartu, 136 nucleotides long. NCBI's taxonomy places the organism in Eukaryota, Viridiplantae, Streptophyta, Magnoliopsida, Poales, Poaceae. The record is from Rfam.